Molecule: ribosomal RNA, 3367 nt
Organism: Oryza sativa (Asian cultivated rice)
Lineage: Eukaryota; Viridiplantae; Streptophyta; Magnoliopsida; Poales; Poaceae
Rfam family: Bacterial large subunit ribosomal RNA
Source: Rfam
GGAUGGGAGGGGGAACCGGUCGGUAGUGGGAGCGGCGGGGAGGGGGCGUGGCUGGGAGUGUNNNNNNNNNNNNNNNNNNNNNNNNNNNNNNNNNNNNNNNNNNNNNNNNNNUUCGGGGAGUCGGCAAACAGACUUGAUCCGGAGAUGUCUGAAUGGGGGAACCCAGCCAUCAUAAGAUGGUUAUCACACACUGAAUACAUAGGUGUGUGAGGCGAACCCGGGGAACUGAAACAUCUAAGUACCCGGAGGAAAAGAAAUCAACCGAGAUUCCCUUAGUAGUGGCGAGCGAACGGGGACUAGCCCUUAAGUGGCUUUGAGAUUAGCGGAACGCUCUGGAAAGUGCGGCCAUAGUGGGUGAUAGCCCUGUACGCGAAAAUCUCUUAGUCAUGAAAUCGAGUAGGACGGAGCACGAGAAACUUUGUCUGAAUAUGGGGGGACCAUCCUCCAAGGCUAAAUACUACUGACUGACCGAUAGUGAACUAGUACCCGUGAGGGAAAGGCGAAAAGAACCCCGGAGAGGGGAGUGAAAUAGAUCCUGAAACCGUAUGCGUACAAGCAGUGGGAGCCUACUUUGUUGGGUGACUGCGUACCUUUUGUAUAAUGGGUCAGCGACUUAUAUUCAGUGGCGAGCUUAACCGAAUAGGGGAGGCGUAGCGAAAGCGAGUCUUAAUAGGGCGUCUAGUCGCUGGGAAUAGACCCGAAACCGGGCGAUCUAUCCAUGGGCAGGUUGAAGGUUAGGUAACACUGACUGGAGGACCGAACCGACUACCGUUGAAAAGUUAGCGGAUGACCUGUGGAUCGGAGUGAAAGGCUAAUCAAGCUCGGAGAUAGCUGGUUCUCCUCGAAAGCUAUUUAGGUAGCGCCUCAUGUAUCACUGUAGGGGGUAGAGCACUGUUUCGGCUAGGGGGUCAUCCCGACUUACCAAACCGAUGCAAACUCCGAAUACCUACAAGUGCCGAGCAUGGGAGACACACGGCGGGUGCUAACGUCCGUCGUGAAAAGGGAAACAACCCAGACCGUCAGCUAAGGUCCCAAAGUCAUGGUUAAGUGGGAAACGAUGUGGGAAGGCUUAGACAGCUAGGAGGUUGGCUUAGAAGCAGCCACCCUUUAAAGAAAGCGUAAUAGCUCACUAGUCGAGUCGGCCUGCGCGGAAGAUGUAACGGGGCUCAAACCAUGCACCGAAGCUACGGGUGUCAUCUUUGAUGACGCGGUAGAGGAGCGUUCUGUAAGCCUGUGAAGGUGAGUUGAGAAGCUUGCUGGAGGUAUCAGAAGUGCGAAUGCUGACAUGAGUAACGACAAUGCGAGUGAAAAACUCGCACGCCGAAAGACCAAGGUUUCCUGCGCAACGUUAAUCGACGCAGGGUUAGUCGGUCCCUAAGGCGAGGCUGAAAAGCGUAGUCGAUGGAAAACAGGUUAAUAUUCCUGUACUUCCAGUUAUUGCGAUGGAGGGACGGAGAAGGCUAGGCCAGCUUGGCGUUGGUUGUCCAAGUUUAAGGUGGUAGGCUGAGAUCUUAGGCAAAUCCGGGAUCUCAAGGCCGAGAGCUGAUGACGAGUGCUCUUUAGAGCGCGAAGUGGUUGAUCCCAUGCUUCCAAGAAAAGCUCCUAAGCUUCAGAUAACUGGGAACCGUACCCCAAACCGACACAGGUGGUUAGGUAGAGAAUACCAAGGCGCUUGAGAGAACUCGGGUGAAGGAACUAGGCAAAAUGGCACCGUAACUUCGGGAGAAGGUGCGCCGGUGAGGGUGAAGUAUUUACUACGUAAGCCCAUGCCGGUCGAAGAUACCAGGCCGCUGCGACUGUUUAUUAAAAACACAGCACUCUGCAAACACGAAAGUGGACGUAUAGGGUGUGACGCCUGCCCGGUGCCGGAAGGUUAAUUGAUGGGGUUAGCGCAAGCGAAGCUCUUGAUCGAAGCCCCGGUAAACGGCGGCCGUAACUAUAACGGUCCUAAGGUAGCGAAAUUCCUUGUCGGGUAAGUUCCGACCUGCACGAAUGGCAUAAUGAUGGCGGCGCUGUCUCCAGCAGAGGCUCAGUGAAAUCGAAAUCGCUGUGAAGAUGCAGUGUACCCGCGGCUAGACGGAAAGACCCCGUGAACCUUUACUGCAGCUUGACAUUGAACUUUGACCUUACUUGUGUAGGAUAGGUGGGAGGCUUUGAAGAUGGGACGCCAGUUCCAUUGGAGCCAUCCUUGAAAUACCACCCUGGUAAUGUUGAGGUUCUAACUCUGCCCCGUAAUCCGGGGCGAGGACCAUGUCUGGUGGGUAGUUUGACUGGGGCGGUCUCCUCCUAAAGAGUAACGGAGGAGUACGAAGGUGCGCUCAGCGUGGUCGGAAAUCACGCGUAGAGUAUAAAGGCAAAAGCGCGCUUAACUGCGAGACCCACAAGUCGAGCAGGUACGAAAGUAGGUCUUAGUGAUCCGGUGGUUCUGUAUGGAAGGGCCAUCGCUCAACGGAUAAAAGGUACUCUGGGGAUAACAGGCUGAUACCGCCCAAGAGUUCAUAUCGACGGCGGUGUAUGGCACCUCGAUGUCGGCUCAUCUCANNNNNNNNNNNNNNNNNNNNNNNNNNNNNNNNNNNNNNNNNNNNNNNNNNGCUUUGAAACCGAGACGCUAGUUUCGGUGGAGCCAAUCUUGAAAUACCACCCUGGUAAUAUUGAGGUUCUAACUCUGUCCCGUUAUCCGGGACGAGGACCAUGUCUGGUGGGUAGUUUGACUGGGGCGGUCUCCUCCUAAAGAGUAACGGAGGAGUACGAAGGUGCGCUCAGCGUGGUCGGAAAUCACGCGUAGAGUAUAAAGGCAAAAGCGCGCUUAACUGCGAGACCCACAAGUCGAGCAGGUACGAAAGUAGGUCUUAGUGAUCCGGUGGUUCUGUAUGGAAGGGCCAUCGCUCAACGGAUAAAAGGUACUCUGGGGAUAACAGGCUGAUACCGCCCAAGAGUUCAUAUCGACGGCGGUGUUUGGCACCUCGAUGUCGGCUCAUCUCAUCCUGGGGCUGAAGCAGGUCCCAAGGGUAUGGCUGUUCGCCAUUUAAAGAGGUACGUGAGCUGGGUUUAAAACGUCGUGAGACAGUUUGGUCCCUAUCUUCCGUGGGCGCUGCAGAUUUGAGGAAGCCUGCUCCUAGUACGAGAGGACCGGAGUGGACACACCUCUGGUGUAUCGGUUGUCACGCCAGUGGCAUUGCCGAGUAGCUAAGUGUGGAAGAGAUAACCGCUGAAAGCAUCUAAGCGGGAAACUCGUUUCAAGAUGAGAUCUGCCGGGGCCUUGAGCCCCCUGAAGAGUCGUUCAAGACCAGGACGUUGAUAGGCUGGGUGUGGAAGCGCAGUAAUGCGUUAAGCUAACCAGUACUAAUUGCUCGUGAGGCUUGACCCU